RNAcentral lists this ribosomal RNA (469 nucleotides) under uncultured bacterium. RNAcentral's name for it is "partial 16S ribosomal RNA". It matches the Rfam family "Bacterial small subunit ribosomal RNA", at positions 28 to 507 of the family's 1533-position model. The record is from RNAcentral.
GACGAACGCUGGCGGCGUGCUUAACACAUGCAAGUCGAACGGAAAGGCCCUGCUUUUGUGGGGUGCUCGAGUGGCGAACGGGUGAGUAACACGUGAGUAACCUGCCCACAACUUUGGGAUAACGCUAGGAAACUGGUGCUAAUACUGGAUAUGUGCUCCUGCUGCAUGGUGGGGGUUGGAAAGCUCCGGCGGUUGUGGAUGGACUCGCGGCCUAUCAGCUUGUUGGUGGGGUAGUGGCCUACCAAGGCGGCGACGGGUAGCCGGCCUGAGAGGGUGACCGGCCACAUUGGGACUGAGAUACGGCCCAGACUCCUACGGGAGGCAGCAGUGGGGAAUAUUGCACAAGGGGCGCAAGCCUGAUGCAGCAACACCGCGGGCGGGAUGACGGCCUUCGGGUUGUAAACCGCUUUCAGCAGGGACGAAGCUUUUUGUGACGGUACCUGCAGAAGAAGCACCGGCUAACUACGUG